RNAcentral lists this ribosomal RNA (434 nucleotides) under uncultured Lachnospiraceae bacterium. Its description in RNAcentral is "partial 16S ribosomal RNA". It matches the Rfam family "Bacterial small subunit ribosomal RNA", at positions 341 to 792 of the family's 1533-position model. Lineage: Bacteria; Bacillati; Bacillota; Clostridia; Lachnospirales; Lachnospiraceae. The record is from RNAcentral.
ACGGAAGGCAGCAGUAGGGAAUAUUGGACAAUGGGGGAAACCCUGAUCCAGCGACGCCGCGUGAGUGAAGAAAUAUUUCGGUAUGUAAAGCUCUAUCAGCAGGGAAGAAAAUGACGGUACCUGACUAAGAAGCACCGGCUAAAUACGUGCCAGCAGCCGCGGUAAUACGUAUGGUGCAAGCGUUAUUCGGAUUUACUGGGUGUAAAGGGAGCGUAGACGGCAUGGCAAGUCUGAAGUGAAAUGCGGGGGCUCAACCCCUGAACUGCUUUGGAAACCGUCAAGCUAGAGUGUCGGAGAGGUAAGUGGAAUUCCUAGUGUAGCGGUGAAAUGCGUAGGUAUUAGGAGGAACACCAGUGGCGAAGGCGGCUUACUGGACGAUAACUGACGUUGAGGCUCGAAAGCGUGGGGAGCAAACAGGAUUAGAUACCCUGGUA